ACACGACUCUCGGCAACGGAUAUCUAGGCUCUCGCAUCGAUGAAGAACGUAGCAAACUGCGAUACUUGGUGUGAAUUGCAGAAACCCGUGAACCAUCGAGUCUUUGAACGCAAGUUGCGCCCGAAGCCAUUAGGCCGAGGGCACGUCUGCCUGGGCGUCACGC
This 163-nucleotide ribosomal RNA is filed under the name Hoya pubicalyx. RNAcentral describes it as "5.8S ribosomal RNA". It matches the Rfam family "5.8S ribosomal RNA". Rfam says of the family: 5.8S ribosomal RNA (5.8S rRNA) is a component of the large subunit of the eukaryotic ribosome. The record is from RNAcentral. Lineage: Eukaryota; Viridiplantae; Streptophyta; Magnoliopsida; Gentianales; Apocynaceae.